Molecule: ribosomal RNA, 400 nt
Filed under: uncultured bacterium
Lineage: Bacteria
Description: bacterial SSU rRNA
Rfam family: Bacterial small subunit ribosomal RNA
Source: RNAcentral
GGGGAAUAUUGCACAAUGGGCGAAAGCCUGAUGCAGCAACGCCGCGUGAGUGAUGACGGUCUUCGGAUUGUAAAGCUCUGUCUCUUGGGACGAUAAUGACGGUACCAAAGGAGGAAGCCACGGCUAACUACGUGCCAGCAGCCGCGGUAAUACGUAGGUGGCAAGCGUUGUCCGGAUUUACUGGGCGUAAAGAACGUGUAGGCGGAUACUUAAGUGAGAUGUGAAAGCCCCGGGCUCGACCUGGGGACUGCAUUUCAAACUGGGUAUCUAGAGUGCAGGAGAGGAAAGCGGAAUUCCUAGUGUAGCGGUGAAAUGCGUAGAGAUUAGGAAGAACAGCAGUGGCGAAGGCGGCUUUCUGGACUGUAACUGACGCUGAGGCAUGAAAGCGUGGGGAGCAAAC